Kushneria marisflavi is the source of this 182-nucleotide non-coding RNA. It matches the Rfam family "6S / SsrS RNA". From Rfam's summary of the family: E. coli 6S RNA was the first non coding RNA to be sequenced, but its function was unknown until recently. It consists of 184 nucleotides that fold into an extended hairpin structure with a large single-stranded internal bulge. NCBI's taxonomy places the organism in Bacteria, Pseudomonadati, Pseudomonadota, Gammaproteobacteria, Oceanospirillales, Halomonadaceae. The record is from Rfam.
CGUUCUCUGGGGUGUUUGCCAGUUGUUAUAGUCCCUCGAGCCUAUGCGCAGUACCCAGGGGGCCACUAUAAGUGGGCCUGUGUGCAUGUCCGCGCGACGGAAAGCCUGAUGGCCCACUUGCGGUCACCCACCUUGAACCAGUAGGUUCAGGGCCAGAACAACAGCGGCAUUCUGGAGAACCC